UCCCCUGUAGCUCAGUUGGUAGAGCAACGGACUGUUAAUCCGUUUGUCGUAGGUUCGAGCCCUACCGGGGGAG
This 73-nucleotide transfer RNA is filed under the name bacterium. Its description in RNAcentral is "tRNA-Asn". It matches the Rfam family "tRNA". Rfam says of the family: Transfer RNA (tRNA) molecules are approximately 80 nucleotides in length. RNAcentral also lists the same sequence under 5 other names. The record is from RNAcentral.